This 497-nucleotide ribosomal RNA is filed under the name uncultured bacterium. RNAcentral's name for it is "partial 16S ribosomal RNA". It matches the Rfam family "Bacterial small subunit ribosomal RNA", at positions 28 to 507 of the family's 1533-position model. The record is from RNAcentral.
GAUGAACGCUGGCGGCGUGCCUAAUACAUGCAAGUCGAGCGAACAGACGAGGAGCUUGCUCCUCUGACGUUAGCGGCGGACGGGUGAGUAACACGUGGAUAACCUACCUAUAAGACUGGGAUAACUUCGGGAAACCGGAGCUAAUACCGGAUAACAUGUUGAACCGCAUGGUUCAACAGUGAAAGACGGUCUUGCUGUCACUUAUAGAUGGAUCCGCGCCGCAUUAGCUAGUUGGUAAGGUAACGGCUUACCAAGGCAACGAUGCGUAGCCGACCUGAGAGGGUGAUCGGCCACACUGGAACUGAGACACGGUCCAGACUCCUACGGGAGGCAGCAGUAGGGAAUCUUCCGCAAUGGGCGAAAGCCUGACGGAUCAACGCCGCGUGAGUGAAGAAGGUCUUCGGAUCGUAAAACUCUGUUAUUAGGGAAGAACAAAUGUGUAAGUAACUAUGCACGUCUUGACGGUACCUAAUCAGAAAGCCACGGCUAACUACGUG